GCCGGGCGUGGUGGCGCAUGCCUGUAAUCCCAGCUACUCAGGAGGCUGAGGCAGGAGAAUCGCUUGAACCUGGGAGGUGGAGGUUGCAGUGAGCCAAGAUCAUGCCAUUGCACUCCAGCCUGGGUGACAGGGCGAGACUCUGUCUCAA
Molecule: unclassified non-coding RNA, 148 nt
Organism: Macaca fascicularis (crab-eating macaque)
Lineage: Eukaryota; Metazoa; Chordata; Mammalia; Primates; Cercopithecidae
Rfam family: Metazoan signal recognition particle RNA
About the family: The signal recognition particle (SRP) is a universally conserved ribonucleoprotein. It is involved in the co-translational targeting of proteins to membranes. The eukaryotic SRP consists of a 300-nucleotide 7S RNA and six proteins: SRPs 72, 68, 54, 19, 14, and 9.
Source: Ensembl